CUUUCCAAGUAAAGUUCUGUGAUACACUCCGACUCUGAAUGUUUGCAGUCAGUGCAUUACAGAACUUUGUUUUGGGAGU
Non-coding RNA from Danio rerio (zebrafish), 79 nucleotides. RefSeq annotates it as microRNA 148. NCBI's taxonomy places the organism in Eukaryota, Metazoa, Chordata, Actinopteri, Cypriniformes, Danionidae. The record is from RefSeq and is marked provisional.